This 1491-nucleotide long non-coding RNA is filed under the name Bos mutus (wild yak). RNAcentral's name for it is "lncRNA (ENSBMUG00000020765.1)". Lineage: Eukaryota; Metazoa; Chordata; Mammalia; Artiodactyla; Bovidae. The record is from RNAcentral.
CAGGCAGAUUCUUACCCAUUGCGCUAUCAGGGAAGUCCUUACCUUAGCAUUGCCAAGUGAUUACACUUAGGCCAAUUUUUCAUUGUAGUAAAUUAAAUCUGUAAUAAAUGUAAUCUGCUUUCAUGAUUCUUGAUGUGGAAAGUCUAGAAAUUUCCCUUUGUUCUUCCUUCUUAGAUCACUGAGAAAGAAGUAAGAUGCAGGCCCACUUUGCCCCUAUAUUAAUAUGGGCCUUGUUGAGACCAUUUGGAAGUGGAGCUCAGGCCUCAAAUAGGCUGUUCCAAGGCUAUAAAUGUAAUCACAUCCUGUCACUGCUUGAUUCCGUAGAGUUUAAAAUAGCGUUGGAAACCUCCUAGGAAAAAAAGCUCCACCGUAACUUCUUGGCUAAGGAAGUAGUAUGUGCUGGCCAAAGCAGAAGGAGUAGCCAGGGCUCCCAAGUUCUAUUCUGGACCUGUUGAUUUGAGAUGUGAUGUUCAGCAAUCUGAGAUGGUGUUCUGUAGCGCUAAGGUUUCUCAUCCUUAGCACAGAGUUUGUGCUUGCAGGGAAGGAGGCCAACACGCUGGUUUCCUGUCCUCUAGGAGAGUCUCAUUAUUAGAAGUCCUCCCUUUCAUUUGAAUUUCUGUGUCCCUACUUUUAUUUAAAUGAAGAAAUAUCCCCCACAGAGUUAAUACAGGAACCCCAGCAGUAUCAUCCAUGUUUUACUUGACUUCAUCUUAUCAGAAUUGCUGUCCUUUUAGCAGUGUGAUUUAGAUCAGCUCUUGUGAGGAAUGGGAACUUUGAUAGGGUUUUGGAAAAGGAAGGGAAAGUUUGUGUGGGGCACACACCUUGGACAACCAGAAAGGAACAUGAAGGGACCAGAAAUGAACAAAACUACGGGAGGUCUAGGAAUGGCGAAGCAGACACUGUGCGAGGGGAAGUCUCAGUCCCUCCUUGAGGAGCAUUUCUUGAGCCGUUUUUCAGGUAAGAGAGGGAAAAAUGCGUUCCUUCCCUUGGAAUGCUCUGCUCACCCUCCUGGUUACCUCAGAUUGGGUAAUUCCUGCCCCCAUUGACUUUUACUUUAGUCUUUUCAGUCUGAACACCAAAUGACAUGGUGACGUCUUAGUAUUUUAUAUUCUUAAGCUGGCUUUAAAUAAGUGAAAACCUUUAUUACAGGAUGUGAAUGACUGAAGGCAGCUUUACUAAGUUAGCAAAAUGUCAUGGAGGAUCUUCAAGGAUCCUGAGUUAAUUGGUUGAGUAGAUUGAUUGUUAAAAUUAUCCAGUCUAUAAUAGGUACUUGUAAAGUCUACGCAUUUAUCAAUUACUUAUUAACUGUAGAGUUAUGUGAUAAUUUGAUAUAAAGUGAUAAGGUAUGACAGGUGUAAGACUAAUGCUGUGGGAACUCAGAGAGGAAAGAUUAUUUUUAGCUUUUGGAUCUAGAGAAUCAGGGAAGUUUUGUGAAAACAGGUUUGUCUAACACUAAAUAAACUUGCACCCUAGUCAGAGGUGGCGUUGAUU